RNAcentral lists this ribosomal RNA (275 nucleotides) under uncultured bacterium. Its description in RNAcentral is "partial 16S ribosomal RNA". It matches the Rfam family "Bacterial small subunit ribosomal RNA", at positions 335 to 607 of the family's 1533-position model. The record is from RNAcentral.
AUACCUACGGGGGGCAGCAGUGAGGAAUAUUGGUCAAUGGGCGCGAGCCUGAACCAGCCAAGUCGCGUGAGGGAAGACGGUCCUAUGGAUUGUAAACCUCUUUUGUCGGGGAGCAAAAGACGCCACGUGUGGCGUUCCGAGAGUACCCGAAGAAAAAGCAUCGGCUAACUCCGUGCCAGCAGCCGCGGUAAUACGGAGGAUGCGAGCGUUAUCCGGAUUUAUUGGGUUUAAAGGGUGCGUAGGCGGAAGAUAAAGACAGCGGUAAAAGGGAGAGG